RNAcentral lists this ribosomal RNA (457 nucleotides) under Helicodiscus multidens. Its description in RNAcentral is "partial large subunit ribosomal RNA". The stretch from base 1 to 201 matches the Rfam family "Archaeal large subunit ribosomal RNA", at positions 1903 to 2143 of the family's 2987-position model. Lineage: Eukaryota; Metazoa; Mollusca; Gastropoda; Stylommatophora; Helicodiscidae. The record is from RNAcentral.
AAACAUAGCCUUACGAAGAUUAUAUGUAAGGUGAUUUCUGCCCAAUGAAUAGUAUAAUUUUAAUGGCCGCAGUACCUUGACUGUGCUAAGGUAGCAUAAUAAAUUGGCUUCUAAUUAAGGUCGAGUAUGAAGGGAACUAUAAAGGAUAGCUGUCUUAGUACUAUAUUUAUAUAAAUUUUCUUAUUAGGUGAAAAUUCCUAAAAUUUUUACACUAGACGAGAAGACCCUAAGAGUUUUGAUAAUUAAGUAUUAAAAUUAGCUUAAAGUUUUUGUUGGGGCAACAUAUAAACAUAAUAUAAAAUUUUUAGUAAUGACUUUGACAUAACUACGAUAAAUGUAAUUUAGAAUAAAUUACCUUAGGGAUAACAGCAUAAUUUAAUAUAUAAGAUUGUGACCUCGAUGUUGGAUUAAGGAUUAUCUUGGUUAGCCACCAUGAUAACAAGUUCUGUUCGAACUU